UGAAUACGAGAUGCUACGGCGUCGAAGCAGUGUAUGUCAGACUUCCAAGAAAAGCUCGCAAUGUCAUAAAUAAAGAAUGCCUGUACCAUAACCGACACAGGUGGGUAGGUAGAGUAUACUAAGGGGCGCGAGAUAACUCUCUCUAAGGAACUCGGCAAAAUAACUCCGUAACUUCGGGAGAAGGAGUGCCUUCUUUAAGAAGGUUGCAAUAACAAGAUCCAAGCAACUGUUUAUCAAAAACACAGGUCUCCGCUAAGUCGUAAGACGAUGUAUGGGGGCUGACGCCUGCCCAGUGCCAGAAGGUUAAAGAAGUUGGUUAGCUUUUGCGAAGCUGAUGACUGAAGCCCUGGUGAACGGCGGCCGUAACAAUAACGGUCCUAAGGUAGCGAAAUUCCUUGUCGGGUAAGUUCCGACCCGCACGAAAGGCGUAAUGAUUUGGAUACUGUCUCGGAGAGGGACUCGGUGAAAUAGACUUGUCUGUGAAGAUGCGGACUACCUGCACCAGGACAGAAAGACCCUAUGAAGCUUUACUGUAACUUGAAAUUGAAAUUGGACUUUAUUUGCGCAGUAUAGGUGGAAGGCGUUGAAAGUAAUCUUGCGGGAUUAGUGGAGCCAUCAGUGAGAUACCACUCCUAUAAUGUUAGAUUUCUAACUUUGGAUCAUGAUCUGGUCAAAGAACAGUUUCAGGCGGGCAGUUUGACUGGGGCGGUCGCCUCCCAAAUGGUAACGGAGGCGUACAAAGGUUUCCUCUGAACGGGUAGAAAUCGUAUCUAGAGUGUAAAGGCAUAAGGAAGCUUGACUGUGAGACCUACAAGUCGAGCAGGGACGAAAGUCGGUCUUAGUGAUCUGACGGUGCUGAGUGGAAAGGCCGUCACUCAACGGAUAAAAGUUACUCUAGGAUAACAGGCUGAUCUCCCCCAAGAGUUCACAUCGACGGGGAGGUUUGGCACCUCGAUGUCGGCUCAUCGCAUCCUGGGGCGGUAGUACGUCCCAAGGGUUGGGCUGUUCGCCCAUGAAAGCGGUACGCGAGCUGGGUUCAGAACGUCGUGAGACAGUUCGGUCCAUAUCCGGUGUAGGCGUUAGAAUAUUGAGAGGAGCCUUCUUUAGUACGAGAGGACCGAGAAGGACAUACCUCUGGUGUACCAGUUAUCGUGCCAACGGUAAACGCUGGGUAGCUAUGUAUGGAGAGGGUAACCGCUGAAAGCAUCUAAGUGGGAAGCCCACCUCAAGAUGAGUAUUCUCAC
RNAcentral lists this ribosomal RNA (1244 nucleotides) under metagenome. RNAcentral describes it as "bacterial LSU rRNA". It matches the Rfam family "Bacterial large subunit ribosomal RNA", at positions 1564 to 2817 of the family's 2925-position model. The record is from RNAcentral.